AACGAACGCUGGCGGCAUGCCUAACACAUGCAAGUCGAACGAGACCUUCGGGUCUAGUGGCGCACGGGUGCGUAACGCGUGGGAACCUGCCCUUAGGUUCGGAAUAACUCCCCGAAAGGGGUGCUAAUACCGGGUAAUGUCUUCGGACCAAAGAUUUAUCGCCUUUGGAUGGGCCCGCGUUGGAUUAGCUAGUUGGUAGGGUAAAAGCCUACCAAGGCGACGAUCCGUAGCUGGUCUGAGAGGAUGAUCAGCCACACUGGGACUGAGACACGGCCCAGACUCCUACGGGAGGCAGCAGUGGGGAAUAUUGGACAAUGGGCGAAAGCCUGAUACAGCAAUGCCGCGUGAGUGAUGAAGGCCUUAGGGUUGUAAAGCUCUUUUACCCGGGAUGAUAAUGACAGUACCGGGAGAAUAAGCUCCGGCUAACUCCGUG
RNAcentral lists this ribosomal RNA (433 nucleotides) under uncultured bacterium. RNAcentral describes it as "partial 16S ribosomal RNA". It matches the Rfam family "Bacterial small subunit ribosomal RNA", at positions 29 to 507 of the family's 1533-position model. The record is from RNAcentral.